This 252-nucleotide ribosomal RNA is filed under the name uncultured bacterium. Its description in RNAcentral is "partial 16S ribosomal RNA". It matches the Rfam family "Bacterial small subunit ribosomal RNA", at positions 524 to 776 of the family's 1533-position model. The record is from RNAcentral.
UACGUAGGUCCCGAGCGUUGUCCGGAUUUAUUGGGUGUAAAGCGAGCGCAGGUGGUUUAUUAAGUCUGGUGUUAAAGGCUGUGGCUCAACCAUAGUAUGCUUUGGAAACUGUUCAACUUGAGUGCAGAAGGGGAGAGUGGAAUUCCAUGUGUAGCGGUGGAAUGCGUAGAUAUAUGGAGGAACACCGGUGGCGAAAGCGGCUCUCUGGCCUGUAACUGACACUGAGGCUCGAAAGCGUGGGGAGCAAACAGG